This 448-nucleotide ribosomal RNA is filed under the name uncultured bacterium. RNAcentral describes it as "partial 16S ribosomal RNA". It matches the Rfam family "Bacterial small subunit ribosomal RNA", at positions 329 to 792 of the family's 1533-position model. The record is from RNAcentral.
GGCCAGACUCCUACGGGAGGCAGCAGUGGGGGAUAUUGCACAAUGGGGGAAACCCUGAUGCAGCGACGCCGCGUGGGCGAAGAAGUAUUUCGGUAUGUAAAGCCCUAUCAGCAGGGAAGAAGAAAUGACGGUACCUGAGUAAGAAGCACCGGCUAAAUACGUGCCAGCAGCCGCGGUAAUACGUAUGGUGCAAGCGUUAUCCGGAUUUACUGGGUGCAAAGGGAGCGCAGACGGCAGUGCAAGUCUGGAGUGAAAGCCCGGGGCCCAACCCCGGAACUGCUCUGGAAACUGUGCGGCUAGAGUACUGGAGGGGCAGGCGGAAUUCCUAGUGUAGCGGUGAAAUGCGUAGAUAUUAGGAGGAACACCAGUGGCGAAGGCGGCCUGCUGGACGAUGACUGACGCUGAGGCUCGAAAGCGCGGGGAGCAAACAGGAUUAGAUACCCGAGUA